GUCCCUGUAGCUCAGUAGGUAGAGCAUGGUGUUUGCAAUGCCAGGGUUGUGGGUUUGAUUCCCACGGGGGGCC
Salmo salar (Atlantic salmon) is the source of this 73-nucleotide non-coding RNA. NCBI's taxonomy places the organism in Eukaryota, Metazoa, Chordata, Actinopteri, Salmoniformes, Salmonidae. The record is from Rfam.